Molecule: unclassified non-coding RNA, 578 nt
Filed under: Hevea brasiliensis (rubber tree)
Lineage: Eukaryota; Viridiplantae; Streptophyta; Magnoliopsida; Malpighiales; Euphorbiaceae
Source: RNAcentral
GCCAUCUAAAUCUAACUCUGGCAUCUUCUCCACUUCAAGUCAAUAGGAAUCCCUAUCCAUCUAGGAUGCCUCAACUACGUCAGGAAAUGUGCAAACCUUCAGAGUCACAGUUUAAUGACAAUGGUAAAGAAUCUGAUAUGAUGGUUAUCUCAGAGGACAUGAAUGCAGGUGAUGGAGCUACAACUUUAUCUUCAUCGAAGGAAGCCCCAAAUAGCAAUCAAGGGCCUUCUGCUGCUCCAGCUCGAGUAAAUGAUGUAUUUUGGGAACAGUUCCUAACUGAAAGACCAGGCUCUUCUGAAUACGAAGAGGCAAAUUCUAAUUAUAGGGCAAAUCCAUAUGAUGAGCAGGAAGACAGAAGGUCUAGCCAUGGAGUGGUGAGAAAUGUUAAAAAUAUGGAGCAUCUCUCUCUUUGAGCACUAUUAUUGUUGUAAAGGCCAGUGACAGGUUUGUAAAGUUUUCUUCAAGAGCUUUCAAUGAUUUGGAUGUUCACUAUAUGUGAUAAAGAUAUAUGGCAUAACUAGAUGUAAACCAUCCGUUUAAUUUAAAUGAGAUAGUGUUGAAAUGCUAAAAAAAAAAAA